This 497-nucleotide ribosomal RNA is filed under the name uncultured bacterium. Its description in RNAcentral is "partial 16S ribosomal RNA". It matches the Rfam family "Bacterial small subunit ribosomal RNA", at positions 28 to 507 of the family's 1533-position model. The record is from RNAcentral.
GAUGAACGCUGGCGGCGUGCCUAAUACAUGCAAGUCGAGCGAACAGACGAUGAGCUUUCUCCUCUGACGUUAGCGGCUGACGGGUGAGUAACACGUGGAUAACCUACCUAUAAGACUGGGAUAACUUCGUGAAACCGGAGCUAAUACCGGAUAAUAUAUUGAACCGCAUGGUUCAAUAGUGAAUGACGGUUUUGCUGUCACUUAUAGCUGGAUCCGCGCCGCAUUAGCUAGUUGGUAAGGUAACGGCUUACCAAGGCAACGAUGCGUAGCCGACCUGAGAGGGUGAUCGGCCACACUGGAACUGAGACACGGUCCAGACUCCUACGGGAGGCAGCAGUAGGGAAUCUUGCGCAAUGGGCGAAAGCCUGACGGAGCAACGCCGCGUGAGUGAUGAAGGUCUUCGGAUCGUAAAACUCUGUUAUUAGGGAAGAAAAAAUGUGUAAGUAACUAUGCACGUCUUGACGGUACCUAAUCAGAAAGCAACGGCUAACUACGUG